Molecule: ribosomal RNA, 453 nt
Filed under: uncultured bacterium
Lineage: Bacteria
Description: partial 16S ribosomal RNA
Rfam family: Bacterial small subunit ribosomal RNA
Source: RNAcentral
UAGGGAAUCUUCCACAAUGGACGAAAGUCUGAUGGAGCAACGCCGCGUGAGUGAUGAAGGGUUUCGGCUCGUAAAACUCUGUUGUUGGAGAAGAACAGGUGUCAGAGUAACUGUUGACAUCUUGACGGUAUCCAACCAGAAAGCCACGGCUAACUACGUGCCAGCAGCCGCGGUAAUACGUAGGUGGCAAGCGUUGUCCGGAUUUAUUGGGCGUAAAGCGAGCGCAGGCGGUUUCUUAGGUCUGAUGUGAAAGCCUUCGGCUUAACCGGAGAAGUGCAUCGGAAACCAGGAGACUUGAGUGCAGAAGAGGACAGUGGAACUCCAUGUGUAGCGGUGAAAAUGCGUAGAUAUAUGGAAGAACACCAGUGGCGAAGGCGGCUGUCUGGUCUGUAACUGACGCUGAGGCUCGAAAGCAUGGGUAGCGAACAGGAUUAGAUACCCUGGUAGUCCAUG